This 75-nucleotide transfer RNA is filed under the name Comamonas testosteroni. Its description in RNAcentral is "tRNA-Val". It matches the Rfam family "tRNA". Rfam says of the family: Transfer RNA (tRNA) molecules are approximately 80 nucleotides in length. Their secondary structure includes four short double-helical elements and three loops (D, anti-codon, and T loops). Lineage: Bacteria; Pseudomonadati; Pseudomonadota; Betaproteobacteria; Burkholderiales; Comamonadaceae. RNAcentral also lists the same sequence under 20 other names. The record is from RNAcentral.
GCGUGAUUAGCUCAGCGGUAGAGCACUGCCUUCACACGGCAGGGGUCACAUGUUCGAUCCAUGUAUCACGCACCA